Molecule: transfer RNA, 68 nt
Filed under: Marmota monax (woodchuck)
Lineage: Eukaryota; Metazoa; Chordata; Mammalia; Rodentia; Sciuridae
Description: tRNA.Val
Source: RNAcentral
GGUCUGUGGCUCAGUGGUAGAGUGCUCGUCUAACACGUGUGAGGCACUGGGUUCACUCCUCAGCACCA